This is a long non-coding RNA of Parambassis ranga (Indian glassy fish), 1465 nucleotides long. The record is from Ensembl. NCBI's taxonomy places the organism in Eukaryota, Metazoa, Chordata, Actinopteri, Ambassidae.
CUCCAUAUACAAAUCAAAACUUCUAUUACAUUUCUAUUUCUUCAACCUUUUAAAUAAAUUCAGAUUUGAGCUUCUUUAACAUUUCACAGCAAAUCCUGCAACAUGCAGCAAUCAAAUGCAUUUUCCUCCCCAUUUUUUCUUCUACUUUAAUAAUCCCAGAAGGGAAAUUGCUUAAGACUGCCAGUAAGUUAGGCAGUGCGGUAAAGUGCCUUGUCCAAGGACACACAACAAUGACUAGGGAGGAGUUGGGAUCGAACCACCAACCUUCAGGUUAUUGGACAACCUGCUGCCCCCGAUAAUAAUAUAACUAUGAAGUAUAACAUCAAAUACAUGUCUAAUUCAAAACAAAACAAAUUCCAAAGAUGCAAAGCAGCGGGUGGCAUGGCAACAGAUGCUAUAUAAGGCCUGCUGACCCUACAGGCGCUUCUUUUUGCACUUGACCUGCGACCAGAGCAGACCUGCGCAAAAAACCUGUGGAAGCUAACGCUGAAGCUAAAGCGGAUUAUCGACACCCAGAGGACUAUCAACAGAGCUCACUGCCAACAACUUCAGGACCACCUAUCACCUUUACCAGCAGAAAGUGUUGGACAACACUUGGAGCAUCGGCACCCCGGAUAGCAUAGGCCUAUCUCCAGAAAGCCGGAUUUUACAGGUCAACUUGUUCCUGAUGGCCACCAGCGGACCCCGCUGCCAGCUGCCUCUGCUGACCGCCAUGGAGGACCGGAGGGCUGAGGAUGUCGGCUCUGUCAUUGAGUGUCCCCCAGCAGACCUUCCUGAGGACAUCUGGAUGUUAGAGGACACUGAUGACAACCGUGUCCCAGUCCUCAUCUCUUCUGAUGAAGAAGAUGAGGGUGAGGACGACCAUGGAGAGGAGGAGCCUCACGACGUGGGAGAUGUCCUGAAUGACCGGUGGGAUGAUGUGGACCUUCCUUUAGCCUUUGGUAAACUGGAGAUUAUGCAGGAGGAGGAGGAUGACAUGAAGGACUCAGAGGAGGAGGACCGGGCCAGUGAGGAUUCCGGGUACAUGACUGAGAACUCCAAAUACUCUGAGGAUGAGGAUGAUGGGGAUGACAUGAGACCUAGUUUUCCUGCCCAGCAGGUCCUGUCACAUGACCUGUUAGAGGCAGGGAGACCUGAGAGUCCCAAUGAUAUCCCUGUCAUUUUGGAUUCAGGUGUUCGUGAGGUGGGGACCCUCCCUCCACACUUGGUCGGUGCUGCCGCUCCUCGGGUCAGGUUUUACUUUGAGAGCAUUGGUAGCGUCCCCUCUGAGGAGCCUGCUGCCAAGCGAUCAAAGUGUGAGUCCCCUGAGGAGUCCACGCCCUCCUCUUCAGCUGUCAUUUCCACUGCACCAAGGAUGGAGGAGGACUACAGACACUCCGCACCCUCCACUGCAGGCCUCAGCUCCUCGCUCCCGGGGAUAUGCUUCGUCAGCCUCAGGCCUCGGGCGUGGCCCAUUCGGUCCUAG